Molecule: ribosomal RNA, 152 nt
Filed under: uncultured bacterium
Lineage: Bacteria
Description: partial 16S ribosomal RNA
Rfam family: Bacterial small subunit ribosomal RNA
Source: RNAcentral
CUAGUAAUCACAGGUCAGCAUACUGUGGUGAAUACGUUCCCGGGCCUUGUACACACCGCCCGUCACACCAUGAGAGUUGAGAAUACCCGAAGUCCAUGUCAAAGUGGCCGAAGGUAGGCUUGAUGAUUGGGGUGAAGUCGUAACAAGGUAUC